RNAcentral lists this ribosomal RNA (783 nucleotides) under Triticum aestivum (bread wheat). RNAcentral describes it as "partial small subunit ribosomal RNA". Lineage: Eukaryota; Viridiplantae; Streptophyta; Magnoliopsida; Poales; Poaceae. The record is from RNAcentral.
AUGAGCUCUGCUGGUUCUGCAAGGGUUCCAAAGAGGAGACGGACUACCAAGACGUCGGAGGCUGCAGACCGGCAACUUCGGGAGCGACAGUUUCUGGACCUGAACUUGUUUCCAGCUGUUGAAGUAGCCAGUACUGGGGGUUCACUCUCCAUUAAUGAGCCUGUCUCACGCACGCAGCCCCCUCCUACGGCGGCUGCCCUGCUUUACGAGACCACACAGGUUGUGGUGUCAUCUGCUGCUGCAGGGUCAAACAUUGGCAUGAAUAGUUUCCCCAUCAACGUGGAGGUGAUUGAUGAUGAUGUUGCGAUUUAUACCUCAGGGCCGCCCCCUCAAGCAAGACAACAGUCGUCCAGGACAGGACCUAUCACUGUGAUAAUAGAUGAUGAUUCUGAAACUACUGCUGGACCAGCAGGGGAAGCUCUUGAUGAGCAUGUGAACACUCUGCUGUCUCUGGGAAUGAACCCGAGGCACAAUCCCUCGAGAGCACAACCCAACACCGACCUUGUAAUAAACAUAGUAGACACACCUGAGACCAACAACAUACCGCCCAAGGUGGUGCAGGCUGUCCCUGAACCUGUGAAGGAGAUCCCAAAGGAAACAAAGUUCAGCUGUCCAGUCUGCAUGAAUGAGCUGGUCAAUGCAUCAUCGACCAUCUGUGGCCACAUCUUCUGCCAGAAGUGCAUCAAGGCCUCCAUCCAGGCUCAAAAGAAGUGCCCUACCUGCCGGAGGAAGCUGACCAUGAGCAACUUCCACCGGGUCUACCUCCCGACGGCAGAUAAUUAA